This 492-nucleotide ribosomal RNA is filed under the name uncultured bacterium. RNAcentral's name for it is "partial 16S ribosomal RNA". It matches the Rfam family "Bacterial small subunit ribosomal RNA", at positions 29 to 507 of the family's 1533-position model. The record is from RNAcentral.
AGUGAACGCUGGCGGUAGGCCUAACACAUGCAAGUCGAACGGCAGCACAGUAAGAGCUUGCUCUUACGGGUGGCGAGUGGCGGACGGGUGAGGAAUACAUCGGAAUCUACUUUUUCGUGGGGGAUAACGUAGGGAAACUUACGCUAAUACCGCAUACGACCCACGGGUGAAAGCAGGGGAUCUUCGGACCUUGCGCGAUUGAAUGAGCCGAUGUCGGAUUAGCUAGUUGGCGGGGUAAAGGCCCACCAAGGCGACGAUCCGUAGCUGGUCUGAGAGGAUGAUCAGCCACACUGGAACUGAGACACGGUCCAGACUCCUACGGGAGGCAGCAGUGGGGAAUAUUGGACAAUGGGCGCAAGCCUGAUCCAGCCAUACCGCGUGGGUGAAGAAGGCCUUCGGGUUGUAAAGCCCUUUUGUUGGGAAAGAAAAGCAGCAGGUUAAUACCCCGCUGUUCUGACGUUACCCAAAGAAUAAGCACCGGCUAACUUCGUG